Molecule: long non-coding RNA, 4668 nt
Organism: Apis mellifera (honey bee)
Lineage: Eukaryota; Metazoa; Arthropoda; Insecta; Hymenoptera; Apidae
Exons: 7
Source: RefSeq, a predicted model, not a curated record
UUUUCUCCAGAAGAGGAAGGAAUAGAAUCAGUGGGAUUUUUCCUCCCGUUAAUUCGAGAGCUCGACUCUAUUUUGCGGGAAACGAUACUCGUUUACUGUCUCGAACGAUUGCAUACCGGAUAAGGAGAACGUGACUUCCGAGUUGUUUCCAAGAUUUUAGAAUUUGCAUCAUGGUGGAAAGAGAGUAUAGUUUAAUUCGUUUACGAGCGGAAUUGUUCCAUACUUUCGAGUUGGAUUGAGUGGAGAAUGAGAUGAAAUUUGAGGCGAUAAAUAUCCGAGGCGGAGAACAUUUCAACUAAGAUCCAUUUGUAACUUUGAGAAAAUGGAGAAGAUGAUGAAAGCUUUUCGAUUACUGCGGAAAAUCAAAAUUUAAGAAAAAUACCGAAGAAUAUUGCCAAAUUUCCUACGAAAACUUGGAAAAAUUUGGCAAACUUUCAAAAAUUCAUAAAAACUUCGGAACCUCGAAAUAUUAAAAAAGGGAGGAGAUAAACUUUCGAUAAAGUUAGAUAAAGAAAGGAAUCCCAAGAUGAUAACUCCUUCUUGAAUAAGAACACACACACACAGAUUCGCAAAAAAAUCUACGUUUUACGAAGAAUUGGAUAAAAUUUGAGACAAGAAUUCUUCAUUGUUAAAACGACAGGAAUGUAAAUAAACGAGCAACUAACGCGAAACAAUAUCAAUUUGACUCUGUUCAUCAGAUUAAGCGCGUAUUAAUUAAAAAGUUUUAUAAACAAAAAGAGAGAAACCGGCGAUCUUUGACUUGGCGAUUAAUCGUGCAAUCUCCUCAUUCAGGAAAAUAUUGUUUAACGAGCGUCAAUCAACGUAGAAUUAUAUUACAUGCAAUGAAUCACUAUACACGUAAUUGAAAUGCAUGGUUGAAUGAUCGAUGAAGUCUUUAUUACAGGGACGAUUGAAUUAGAAUGGAAUACGAAUUGAAGGGCGAUCGUUCACCUGUUGAUGCGUGAAUACGAUGGGCCGUUGUCCUGGCACACGAAGACCUCCAGGGAGAAGGAUAACGAUUAUUGUCGGAGAAGUGGCUUCCGGUAUCCUUCGAUGGACACCGUCGUCUUUUUCUUCGUUGAUUGUCGUUGGACAAUUCAGGUUUUUUAUAAAUAUAUUCUUCUAUAAAUGAUUUCUUUUCAGAUAGAAUUCAAAAACGGAUAUUAACUCGUGCUCUCUCGAUUUUCCAAAUAUUUAAAAGAUCCAUUGUCCGUUAACCCACUAAAGGAUUUCCAAUUUUCGAGGGAUUCCAUCAAUUUUUCGUGGAAACGAUCGUUGCGGAGGGAAAAAAGAGAGAAACGCAACCCCGCGGUUUCGAAGGGGGUAAGAUUAAAGGCGAGGGCGGGACGAGAAGAAGGCAGAGUUCGAUCAGAUAUAUUCCGUUGGGUUUCGAAAAGCGGGCCACGUAAUGAAUUCGUGCGCCCUUCGUCGAUGGCCUGGUUUCAUUGCGAGCUACGCCAUGCUAAAUGAAGGUACGACCUUCCGCGCGAGGGUCGCGCGAGGUCGCCGAAGAUUAGUCGCCGCUCCUUCGUGAACCUGAAAUUUCCCCGGCUCAGGAAAUUCAUCGAGAGGAUCCGUGAAUUAACACAUUCACAUAUGGUCGUUCAACCCUCUCUCAAUAAUGGAUAGAUACUUUUAAAAUCGCACAGAAAAAACGGCAUUGAGACGAAGGAAGGAAGCCAUCGCGCGAGCUGUUAACCCUUUCAUCGUUGCGAAACCGUACAUAGGUUUAAAACGGUUUCUGCAGUUUAAUUUAUCACCUGGACCAUUUAUCUUCCCGCAAAAAUUAAACUGAUCUUCUUACUACCGCCAUUUCCCCUAAUCAAUCCCAAAAAAACGUUGACACAUACGUCCUCGAGAUACAAUUAGCCCGGCUAAUUUCAUCCCCCGACUUUUCUUAUCGACCAUUUGUGAAUAGGGGUGGCUCGUUCAAACCACGUGUACACUCUUCUUGCCUCGUAAGUGGACGACGUAAUAACAAAUUGAAGGACAAAUCUGGGCAAAGAUACGCUUGUUCCACCGAUAAUUGAUCGAGUUGAGGAAUCAUCUUUAUUCGCGAAAAUAAAAGAGUGUUUAAAUACAAAAAGGGAGAGAAUCGACGAGUCUGAUAAUUUCCAUUCACCAAUACCGGACAUCUGAGAUACCUUUACAACUUAAAAAGAAAUUGGAACGAAGUAAUAAGAAAGCACGAGGAAGAAGAAGGAGAAGAAGAAGAAUCAUCUCUCUCUCUCUUUCUCUUAAUUGUUCGAACGAGCAGUUGAGCUCGUUAAAUCGGCGUUCCAGUUUGUCGGCCGGGGAGGGGGAGGUUGAGAAAGAAGGGAGGGGUUUUGGAAGGAGACAUUUUUCUCCGAGCACCGUUAAAUAAUUGUCUUCCUGAAACGAUUGGAAGAUAGCGAUGCAACGUGGUUAAAUCGAAAAGUCGAUUCCAACCCCCUCCCCGUCUCACCACCACCCCUCCCCAGAUACCGCUAACGGGAUCUGACAAGGCGAACGCCGGUACUCGCGCAUCUAUAGAGGGGCCGUAUCGAUUCUCGAGGCGGCAGGAACUCGCUGACAAGGUUACAAGGUUGCGCUAAUUGAGGGUUUUAAUUUCCUGUCCGCCCACCAGAACCCCCUCGCCCCCCUCCCCUCCUCCCCCGAUUUAUUCGGCCGGCCGCGAUACACGCGAUCCUUUUGUGUGCCGCCGCCGCUGGUUUUGUUAACCGAGUUAUUCGAUCGCACACUUUGGGAAGGAAAGGGUCUUUCUAGAAGAUAGAAUUGAUAACGCGGGGUAAAAGAAUCAGAGUCUGUGAUAUAUAAUAAUAAUCGAGAUUUUUUAAAAAUUUUUUUUCAAUUUUUAGGCUUCGUCAAUUUUCUAAUUUGGUGGCUAUGAUCGAAGUUCUUUGAGGCAUGGUUAAUCCCUGUGGAUGGAAUCCCGUUCGCGCGAUAAAGAUUUUUAAGUGGUUCGAUUUUAAAAAAAUUUUUAAAAUCUCGUUGGAAAAAUGGACGAGGGUUUGAUUGGCCAUCGUCGAUCGAACCCUUCUUGAAUUUUUGAAGAAAGUAAUAUUUAUUUGAAAUGUAUAUUUUUUUGUAGUUGAAAUAUUAUUAUUCGAGUGGUUAGUUGAUCUUCUUGAGGAAAGAUUGAUUAUACAUUCGUACGAGAAACACAAUUUUGCACGGGUGAGAAAAGUUUUCCCCUCGAUUUCGAAUAUUGUAACGAAUCAGCAAGAAGGUCUCUCUGGGGGUUCUGUUGAAAUUUCAAAAGACUUAAUAGGCUUAACGAACUUGGACCUCAAGUUUCGAAAGUCUCGAAUAUGUCGGCAGACUUUACGAAUCUUGAAGGAUCUUCUCUAAACUACCUUUACCCAAAAGCACCAAUUAUUAAGUAUUCAAGAUGUAUAUAUCGUUAGAAAUUCUAAUUUUCUUUCGUAACUGCGUGUUUUUGAAUGGAUUCGCGAUUUAAGCUAUUUUCGUAAAUAAAUAACAGAGAGAAAUAAAUAUAAAAUCACGUUCAAUAUUCCUAUAAUCCCAAAAAAUUUGAUGGAACAUCAAAAAAUCAUACAGAAAAGAGAAGAAUACUUUUUUAUUCGCUCGAAAAGGAUUAUAACGUGCAUUACUUAUUAUUGCCUUGAAUUUAGCGCCAAAAACCGAACUUAACCUACGAUUCGACGAAAAUUGCCGAAAAAAGCCGAGCGUAAUCGAGGAAAAUUGGUCUCGCGCACGCGCAAUAAAGUUAAAAAUAUCUUGCAUUAUCUUGCUUAUCUUGUCGCGAUUAAAACAAAUCGAUUAUUACAAUUGUUUCUUUUUUCCUCGACACGCGAUUCUCCGUUUAAUUUCUAUUUUUUUAUCAAAUUAAAAAUCUAUCUUGUGCGAUACGCCCUCUUGAACGGGUAGGAUGGAUCGUAGUUAUCUUUAAUAGGAAGCGUUACGGAGCGUACCGUUUCGUGCGAAUUUCUAAGACUUCCACAAAGGCUAUUUAGUCAAAGGUUCGAUAAUCUUCGUAGCGUAAACUACGCAUAGAAGUUAACGGCUGUGAAUUACGCCGAACAAUGCAUCGAAAUGAAACAUCGAAUUUCACAAACAGAAGGGAAAGAAGCACAAAAUUUAUCGAGAAUCCCUCUCCAAUCCGAUCUCUUUCGAUCGAAGAAAGAAAAUCGAAUCCCAAACCGAUCAAAAGAUUGUCAAGGGUCGAAAAGGAAGGGGGGAGAGGAGGAGAAGAGUUAAGAGAAGCGAGCGAGAACAGGAGAAGAGGGCCCCUGUUUAUUUGUUCUUUCGUAAAGUCAACAAAAAUUUCGCCGGCCCGGCACGAGCAUCGAACGAAGGAACAGUGGACGAUGGUCGAGCCAAAUGUAGUUGGCCGACCGGCCAAAAUGAGUUUGUGUCUAUUAUUACACUCCACCCAGCCGUGAGCCACGAGCCGGCACGGGGCCCGGUUAUACAGCCGUCUACAGGGUGUUCGCGUCGCUGCUCAACCGAUUUUCUCGUAAAUAUUAAGGUCGUCCAUUAAGUCGUGGAGAUCGUUUGUAAACGAUAAUAGGCUACAUCGAGUUUAUACUUCGCGCCAAUUUUUUUCCCCUCCCUGCUUCUUAAAAAGUCGGGUUGUUAUGGAGGGGGGAAAGUGGUUGAUGAUAAAUGGGAUUGAAAAAAGAAAUACUUUUUUUUUGGGAGCUCUUUUAAAAUUAUCUUAAA